Molecule: transfer RNA, 72 nt
Organism: Camelus ferus (Wild Bactrian camel)
Lineage: Eukaryota; Metazoa; Chordata; Mammalia; Artiodactyla; Camelidae
Rfam family: tRNA
About the family: Transfer RNA (tRNA) molecules are approximately 80 nucleotides in length.
Source: Rfam
GAGGGUAUAGCUUAGUAGUAGAGUGCAUGCCUAGCAUGCACAAGGUCCUGGGUUCAAUCCCCAGUACCUCCA